CGGUACGUACUGGCAUCGUCGGUUUCUCCCUUCUGACGAACCAUGAUGUCAUUUAUUUGGUGUCGUGGGGAAUCAGGACUGUUGCUUUGAAAAAAUUAGAGUGUUUAAAGCAGGCUCACGCUUGAAUACAUUAGCAUGGAAUAAUGAAAUAGGACGUUUGAUUCUAUUUUGUUGGUUUCUAGGAUCGACGUAAUGAUUAAUAGGGAUAGUUGGGGGGCAUUAGUAUUCAAUUGUCAGAGGUGAAAUUCUUGGAUUUAUUGAAGACUAACUACUGCGAAAGCAUUUGCCAAGGAUGUUUUCAUUAAUCAAGAACGAAAGUUAGGGGAUCGAAGACGAUCAGAUACCGUCGUAGUCUUAACCAUAAACUAUGCCGACUAGGGAUCGGAUGAUGUUAAUUUUUUAAUGACUCAUUCGGCGCCUUACG
Molecule: ribosomal RNA, 424 nt
Filed under: uncultured Glomeromycotina
Lineage: Eukaryota; Fungi; Glomeromycota
Description: SSU rRNA
Rfam family: Eukaryotic small subunit ribosomal RNA
Source: RNAcentral